AUAUUAAGGUGGGGUGGGAAUUUCAGUUGCACUGUUAUUAAGGGGCACAGCAUUUGACUUAUCUGCUGACUAGAAGGUACAGACCAAUCCGCAUCUGUGUUACCCAGUGAAUGUACAGGGAGUGGGCUCAAAUGACAAAUAAUAUUGUGGCUUGUAUGUGUGUUCAUUACCCAUAACACUGUUUUAAAGUAUUAGUUUCUUCUGUGUUGAUUUAUGUUUAAAAUAUUUGGUUUGUUCAUUAUGGGUGUAAUAUUUGUUAGCGGAUGCAGCAAAAAUGAAACUUACAUUAGCAGCUGAGAGACAAGAGAACUUAAAACAAAAGGGUGUGAUAAAUUUCUGUACUAUUUCAUUAGAAGGAAGCAAUGAACAGUCUUUGCUAGAAAGUGAAAUCAAGUGGCUUAAUGUAAAUAAUGCAUCAAAAAAUAAAAGUUAAGUGUAAUUAUUCAAAGCAUUGGCAGAAAUCUCUCAUUCAGUAGUCCAGCUUCAAACAGCAGGGAGGAAGAAAGUCUAGAAUGAUUGGUGUGAGGAAAAUUGUGUUGCUUGCACUUAAUCAUACAGUAGGUAUUUUAAGUUGUUAGGUAUGUGAUCUCUUUCCCAGUACUGGAGAUCAAAAUUCUAAGGUAAUGAAAGGUUUUCCUCUGCCUUUCAAACUGAAGACAUUUAAAAGGCCUGAAAAAUCAUUCCAACACCAGAAAUGUAUGAAAGCUGAUAAUGCUCUAUUGGCUCCAGAGGGCAUUCUCUUGGAUAUAUAUAUAUAUGAAAUGGGAAUGGGUUCAAACUGUCUGGCCAUUUUAAUGGCCCUUAUUAUAGGGCAAAGAACAAUAAGCAAUCUUCUGACUAUGAAAGGUUGAUGAAGUUGACUGGAAAAUUGGGGUUGAAGUAUGAGAUAAGUGUAAAAGUGAGAAAGAAAAUUCAGUUCCAUGGUCUUAUGUAUUGCAGAAGUAAUGUUAAGUGAACUUGUUUGAGAACCUGAAAAUGCUAAGUAUGUGAGUUUGAUGUUAAGAUGGAUCUACUAUCAAAGAAGGUAGUGUAGUUGAUUCUAUAUAUAAGAUACAUAAAGAGUGAUGGAGUGAGAGAAGCGUCUGUGUUAGAUUUACAUCUUGAUAGUGAACCGCAGAAGGCUACUUUGAUGCCAGUGUAAAAGAAUUGGGAGAAGCUUGAAAUUUUGGACUGGCUGUUUUCCUGUCAGCUGAUUGGUAUUAAUACUGAGGGUGUAGCCAGUAAGAAACAAUGUAUGGACUGAUACCAAAAACUGCAGAAUAUAUGCCACAUAAUUAGUGUUCAUUGUGUUGUGCAUCAGUUAAAUUAAGGUCAUUAAGGAUUUGAUUCAAUUCUGAAGAAACUGCAUUCAUUCUAUUAGUACUCUCCAGAGAACUGAGUCACAUACAUGGAAGUCCUCUAAACUAUAUACUGAACUUACACUGUCUAUACAGUGUAAUGUAGGUGGCCAGCAAAGGAAGUGCUGCCUCUGCACCUUUGAAGUUUGGAAAUGAGUCAACAGUAUGAUUUGAAAGUAAUCCUGAAAGGAAUGUAUGAGAAUGAACAUCUGCAUGGUUUGAAUAGUACUGCAAGGUCUCCUGUUGAAUCAGAAAGGAAACUUGGCGCUACAUACAGUCAGAUGCUUAGAAGAACAGUUUUUAAAUUGGAAACACAUUGAAUGGUUAACUGCAGUUUUUGUCACUUCUGUCUGGUCAGCAGACUGCAGCAUAGCUCAUUUCUAGAAACACUUUUCACCACCAAAGAGGAAUGGUGACUCUGCUAUCUCUGUAUAAUGACUAGUAUCAGUUUAAGUCAUGGGAAAGGGGGAGAACUGAGUGGGCUUCUUGAAUCAGAACUUGUUACUGAUGGAAGAUGCCCAGUUUUGUAGCAGUUGUUCAUAGUGUUUGUGCUGCCUUUCUCCACUGAGUGUUGUCACAGGGGAUGUAGUUUCACGAAUCUUGUUAAAAAUAAAUUCAUUCUUCAGAUAUACCCCAAUAGUGCUGAAAUUUGAGCCUUCAAAGACUUUUGACCCAUGAUACUUUGGUCCCUAAACUACAGUACACAUGCAUGGCACAAGUAGUCAGAUGAGUAAUUGUGGAAUUGUAUAGUUCAUCUGUUAGUUCAUAUCCACAUAUUUUUUCCUGUAACAUAUUUGUGAAUGAAUUUUUUGUCAUUGUAGAUACAUUGAAAGAUGUUAAUUUAUUCCAUUCAUUGUUGCCACACUCAGUUCUUUUUGUUAGUUUAAAUAUAAAACUCCUGACAAAAAAAAGUUUGUAAAUUUUUGGAUUGACUUCUAGUCCAAAGAGACAUUUGUCAAACUCUGUGUUAACCCCUUGAGCGUGACUUUAAGCGGAGCCAUUUAAAUUCCUAAGCCUGUGCGACGCAACACCUGCGUCCACUCAAACCCCUGCUGUAAGCGUGCGCGCCGCAUAUGUUGCGUCCAAACUUUUCACUAAGAAUUCUUAACACCUACGCUCUGAUGUAUGUACUUCCAGUGAAUGUAUAUGUGAGCUAAAAUUUACUUCUUUCAUUCCUCGCCAUCUGUUUGUGUGUGGUAUUUUUUUCACUCACUUUGCUUGGGACAAAGCAUGUGGUGUCUGCUGCUUAUGAAAGAAUUGUUCCCACUCACACUCCUACUUGCUUUCAGAGGGAUAAUUGUUAGCUAACUUUCAUUGAGUGCUUGUUAUCAGUGUUUAUGUGUCUGUAUUUUUUUACUGGCUUGGCUUACUGGCGACAAAGCAGCUGUGUCUGAUUUACGAUGUUACGAACCUAGGGGUCGAAGUAGCCUGACGCCUGUGUCAACAUUUAUGAAUUUGUUAUUUCUUUUCUGCCUUGCGACACACUCUUAUCGGAGUCCUAGGCAUUUGGUCACGUAACUUGUCUGGUGGGACAGUUUCUUGGCCCUGACGCAAAUGAAACCACGCUUUCAAAAGUGGGUUCCCACAACUACGAAUUAAAUUAGGGUAUUCCUAGGUUUGCUUAUGCUGAUGGGAAUUCAGAAACCAAACCUCAGAAUGUAUUUUAGUAGGAAACAAGGGAAAAAUGUGGUACAAAAAAUUAUUCAACCACUUAGUAAAUACGGCAGUGUUGAAUGGUUACAUUCUGUACUGCAAGGCUGGUAACAAGGAAGAUCAUCUGUUAUUCAGAAUAAACUUAGUGAAUAAGAUCAUAGCAAAGUCCCAUGGACAGAAUUUAGAAAAGCGCAAAGGGCGUUUUUCAGAUAGCGCCGUGGAAUGUACGAGAUUCACGGGUCAGCAUUUCAUUCAACAAAAUCCCAAAACCGGAACUUAUAAAGUUGGAAGAAGAAGGUGUGUGAUGUGUAGAAAAAACAGAAAGAGAAAAGAAACCAGAUACAGGUGUAAAAACUGCCCAGGGACACCGUCUCUCUGCCUAGACCCCUGUUUUGAGCAGUACCACACCAAGGUCAACUACUAGACUCUGGAUAUGGAGAGCUGGGAAAAAGAAAUAGCUUGACAAAAUAUACAGGGCAGAAUGAACUCUGAUCAUCUUCUGACAACUAGUUCCACACAGACCUCUGAUACCAAGUGCACUGAUGAUGUUAGUCUUAAGGGCAUCUACAAACUGUCCCACAGUUGGAUUUUUGUUCAAACCAUACUACGAACGAAUAACUUCAAAUGUGUUCACAAGGUGAUCAUCAAACAGCUGUUGCCAGGUAUUCACCACACCACCCUGAAAGAACAUUAAAAAGGAAAUUAGUGGGCUUCCUUACAUGAUGGACUUGUUCAGAUUUGAAAAUAACGCAUUUUACUUUAAAGGGACUGCCAUUAUAAAGAUUUUGUAUAUUUGAUUAAAUUAUUCCUCAUA
Long non-coding RNA from Cryptotermes secundus, 3804 nucleotides. RefSeq lists it as uncharacterized. NCBI's taxonomy places the organism in Eukaryota, Metazoa, Arthropoda, Insecta, Blattodea, Kalotermitidae. The record is from RefSeq and is a predicted model, not a curated record. The transcript has 2 exons.